GAUGAACGCUGGCGGCGUGCCUAAUACAUGCAAGUCGAGCGAACGGACGAGAAGCUUGCUUCUCUGAUGUUAGCGGCGGACGGGUGAGUAACACGUGGAUAACCUACCUAUAAGACUGGGAUAACUUCGGGAAACCGGAGCUAAUACCGGAUAAUAUUUUGAACCGCAUGGUUCAAAAGUGAAAGACGGUCUUGCUGUCACUUAUAGAUGGAUCCGCGCUGCAUUAGCUAGUUGGUAAGGUAACGGCUUACCAAGGCAACGAUGCAUAGCCGACCUGAGAGGGUGAUCGGCCACACUGGAACUGAGACACGGCCCAGACUCCUACGGGAGGCAGCAGUAGGGAAUCUUCCGCAAUGGACGAAAGCCUGACGGAGCAACGCCGCGUGAGUGAUGAAGGUCUUCGGAUCGUAAAACUCUGUUAUUAGGGAAGAACAUAUGUGUAAGUAACUGUGCACAUCUUGACGGUACCUAAUCAGAAAGCCACGGCUAACUACGUG
This 497-nucleotide ribosomal RNA is filed under the name uncultured bacterium. Its description in RNAcentral is "partial 16S ribosomal RNA". It matches the Rfam family "Bacterial small subunit ribosomal RNA", at positions 28 to 507 of the family's 1533-position model. The record is from RNAcentral.